UGCGGAGCUUACCAUGCAGUCGAGCGGAACGAUGGUAGCUUGCUACCAGGCGUCGAGCGGCGGACGGGUGAGUAAUACUUAGGAAUCUACCUAGUAGUGGGGGAUAGCACGGGGAAAUUCGUAUUAAUACCGCAUACGACCUACGGGAGAAAGGGGGCAGUUUACUGCUCUCGCUAUUAGAUGAGCCUAAGUCGGAUUAGCUAGAUGGUGGGGUAAAGGCCUACCAUGGCGACGAUCUGUAGCUGGUCUGAGAGGAUGAUCAGCCACACCGGGACUGAGACACGGCCCGGACUCCUACGGGAGGCAGCAGUGGGGAAUAUUGGACAAUGGGGGAAACCCUGAUCCAGCCAUGCCGCGUGUGUGAAGAAGGCCUUUUGGUUGUAAAGCACUUUAAGCAGUGAAGAAGACUCUUCGGUUAAUACCCGGAGACGAUGACAUUAGCUGCAGAAUAAGCACCGGCUAACUCUGUGCCAGCAGCCGCGGUAA
RNAcentral lists this ribosomal RNA (486 nucleotides) under uncultured Psychrobacter sp. RNAcentral describes it as "bacterial SSU rRNA". It matches the Rfam family "Bacterial small subunit ribosomal RNA", at positions 39 to 523 of the family's 1533-position model. The record is from RNAcentral. Lineage: Bacteria; Pseudomonadati; Pseudomonadota; Gammaproteobacteria; Moraxellales; Moraxellaceae.